GCCGGUGUAGCUCAACUGGUAGAGCAACUGACUUGUAAUCAGUAGGUUGGGGGUUCAAGUCCUCUCGACGGCACCA
This 76-nucleotide transfer RNA is filed under the name compost metagenome. RNAcentral describes it as "tRNA-Thr". It matches the Rfam family "tRNA". From Rfam's summary of the family: Transfer RNA (tRNA) molecules are approximately 80 nucleotides in length. Their secondary structure includes four short double-helical elements and three loops (D, anti-codon, and T loops). The record is from RNAcentral.